Phoenix dactylifera (date palm) is the source of this 2463-nucleotide non-coding RNA. The record is from RefSeq and is a predicted model, not a curated record. Lineage: Eukaryota; Viridiplantae; Streptophyta; Magnoliopsida; Arecales; Arecaceae.
CUUUGGGGAAACCAGUUUUGCUUCACCAUCUCUCUUUUGUACGGUCAACCCCUGCUCAUAACGGUGAGCGACUUGGCCCGCCAGCUAUGGUUUCCAACGCCCGGAUCCCGCCCCCGAUCCCUCCGCCCCAACCAAAGAUCCCAAAGUUCAAGAUUGCACUCUGCCAGUUGCUGGUCACUCCGGACAAGGAGAGGAACAUUGCUCAUGCUCGGAAAUCGAUCGAAGAUGCAGCAAGGAAGGGUGCAAAGCUGGUUGUAUUGCCUGAAAUAUGGAAUUGUCCUUUAUCACUUCAGAACUUGUCAAAAUAUGCGGAGGAUAUAGAUGCUGAAGCUGCAUGCCCAUCAAUCUCAAUGCUAUCAGAAGUUGCUCUUUGUAAUGCAAUCACGAUAGUAGGUGGAUCAAUACCUGAACUGGCUGCAGGUCAGUUAUUUAACACAUGUUGUGUUUUUGGACCAGACGGGAAGUUAAAGGCCAAGCAUAGAAAACUGCAUCUGUUUGAUUUUGACAUCCCGGGAGAGGUUACCUUCAGGGAAUCUGAUUUUCUUACAGCUGGAGAGGAACCAACUAUUGUAGACACAGAUGUAGGGCGUAUUGGGAUAGGUGUAUGUCAUGAUAUCCGUUUUCCAGAACUUGCAAUGUUGUAUGGAUCUAGAGGGGCUCAUUUGAUAUGCUAUCCUGGAGCAUUUAACAUGAGUACUGGUGAAUUGCUGUGGGAAUUGAUGCAAAGAGCAAGGGCUGCUGAUAAUCAGUUGUUUGUUGCAACUUGUGCACCAGCCCAGGACCCUAAUACCAGUGCUGAUUACAUUACAUGGGGUCAUUCUGGUCUUGUUGGACCGUUCGGUGAAAUAAUUGCAACAGCGGGGAAUGAAGAGACAACCGUCAUUGCGGAGAUCGAUUAUUCUCUGAUCCAGUUCCAGAGGGAGUACCUUCCUCUUGAGGUGCAAAGGCAGGGAGACAUGUACAAGAUGGUUGAUGUCCUUGGAGGGAAUGCUCAGUGAUGCUCAUGGAAAUAUUCUUGCAUCUCUAAUAUGAAGUUAUUCAGUUGGAUAAGAACUAGUUGUCAAAUAUCUGUUUCUUGCUGAGAUGGCUCAAGAUGAUGAAAUAUCAUACAGAUUUCAUCACUAUGGUUGGCUUGAAGUAAACAGUUGAGACAAAUGUUAUUGAUUUUUGCCAGCGGCUCUAAAUAGCACUUUGAGGAUUAUCAAAAAGUCAAACUUGGAUUGCCAUGGACAUGCAUAUCUGAACUUAAGUGUUACCUAGCAAUAUUUAUAUAGAUGUCAGAAUUUAUGACAGUAAUGCAAUCCCCGUACAUGAUCAAAAUAUGAUUAUUCUGUUGGAGGGAAUUUGGUGCUAUGUCAUGUCCCCAAUGUCACAUAUGAAGUAGCUUUUUUUUUCUCAUGUUGUUGGGUUUGUAGUUAACUUUCAUUGUUUCUGUCUGAUUAAUAUCUUGGUCCUCUUGUUAGAACCUAUUUAUUUGUAAUAUGCUUUUCUCCUGGUUAAAAGUGGAUAUAAGCUGCAAUUUCUUGUGCAAUAUCAUGGAUAAUGCUCUUAAUGAGCUUUAGGCAUGAUUAUCUCUACGUGGAUGCCUAUGUAUUAGCAUCCUUGCUUCACAUGCUAUGAAGUCUUGUGUUGUCAACUGUUGCAAAUGGAGGAGUUUAGUGGGGUACACUCUGCAGAGGCAUUACAUAAGAAUGAUAAUAAGAUUGAAAGAGAAGAAUACAAAUGCUCACCUCAUGCGGCUGAAUAAACCAUCCAUUGAUCUUUGCUUGAUCCCUGAUGGCUGCUAAUUGAGGAUCACCGGUCAUUGUAUCAACUGGUUUUGAGAUUGUUUCAUGAUUGAGUUUUGUGGGAUGAGAGGGUUGCUGGUUGUUAGAUAUGUGGUGCAGGAAGCCAUUCUGCUGUGCAUUGUCUAAGCAGAACCUGAGAUAUUCCUUCAUGCUCUCCAGACGAGCUUUGUAAGUAUCCUUGAGAUCUCUCUGACGUUGAAGCUCCUCUCUGAGUUCGUCAACCUUGAUUGCAAAACAGAAAAAUACUUCAACAUCCAGAAAGAGCUAGUUUUCCUAUCUAAACCAUAACUAUUUGUUGUUUGUUUUUCAAUUUUUCAUUUUUCACCUUCAAAUUUCUGUUCUUUUUUGAAAUCCAGGGUUCUGAAGUCAUCCUGAAAUACCAUUUGGUGCAUUUAAGAUGUCUUCUCUAGUCUCCACUGUAAUGCUCGAGGAAUUUUUGCUGAUUGUUUUUAAUUUUUCAAAUUCCUGUUCUUUUUUGAAAUCCAGGGAUCUGAGUUGUCCUAAAAUAUCAUUUGGUGCAUUGGUUGGGGAAGAUGGCUUCUCCAGUCUCCAGCACAUUGCUUGAGGAAUGCUGAAAUAUUGUGGAGAGGUAAGAUUUUGGUUCUCUCUUAUUUAUGCUGAAAUAUGGGCAUCUACAAGCAGUUCAUAGUUGAUGGUGCAGUCAUAGAAAAUGGUA